RNAcentral lists this ribosomal RNA (301 nucleotides) under uncultured bacterium. Its description in RNAcentral is "partial 16S ribosomal RNA". It matches the Rfam family "Bacterial small subunit ribosomal RNA", at positions 509 to 807 of the family's 1533-position model. The record is from RNAcentral.
CAGUAGCCGCGGUAACACGUAGGGUGCGAGCGUUAAUCGGAAUUACUGGGCGUAAAGCGUGCGCAGGCGGUUGUGUAAGACAGAUGUGAAAUCCCCGGGCUUAACCUGGGAACUGCAUUUGUGACUGGCGGGCUAGAGUAUGGCAGAGGGGGGUAGAAUUCCACGUGUAGCAGUGAAAUGCGUAGAGAUGUGGAGGAAUACCGAUGGCGAAGGCAGCCCCCUGGGCCAACACUGACACUGAGGCACGAAAGCGUGGGGAGCAAACAGGAUUAGAUACCCCGGUAGUCCCUGUCUCUUAUAC